Molecule: long non-coding RNA, 995 nt
Filed under: Mus musculus (house mouse)
Lineage: Eukaryota; Metazoa; Chordata; Mammalia; Rodentia; Muridae
Description: predicted gene, 46560
Source: RNAcentral
GGAGGAGACUGAGGUCUUCACAGUCUCCUGGAAGUUCAGUCAGAGGUCCAGAUGCAGCCUGGGGCUGUGGUCACAGCUCGCCAUCCCAUCCGCAUUGCUUGGUCUGCACCUUUGCUCUCCCAGCACCGGCACUAUCCUCGUCAUCUCGGCCACGAUUAUGGAUGCGCUGUCCUCUGCCCUGGCUGGAACAGUUGCCUUCCAGAAAGGUACUACCUGGCUUGAACAACAACAAAUGUCUUUUCCUGUAACUUGUAUUGCCCCACAGAGGAAGACGAACAGCUCUCCCACACUGGAGCCAUAACUUUACCCAUGAGCCUUCACUCUCAGCCAGGGCAGACAAGAGUCCAGCGCGUCUGAGACUGUUCCUGCUCUGACCCAGAUAUCCAACCUGCUAGUGUGUGAGAAUACUCCAUGUCUCAGUCAGGAUUUCCAUUGCUGUGAAGAGACACCGUGACCACAGCAACUCUUAUGAAGGAAAAGAUUUCAUGUGGACUGGCCUGCAGACCAGAGAUUUAGUCUACUGUUGUCAUGGCAGGAAACCUAGCAGUGUGCAUGGUGCUGGAGAGGAGCUAAGAGUUCUACAUCCCGAUCAGAAGGCAGCAGGAAGGGAACUUUGAGCCACUAGACCUGAGCUUCUGAGACUUCAAAGCCUACCCCUUGGUGACAUGCUUCCCUCAACAAGCCACACCCACUCCAGUACCUAAUAGUGCCACUCCCUGUGGAUCUGUGGGGGCCGUUUUCAUUCAAACUUCCACACCCCAUAUAUUUCUUGGGUUGCGUGUCUACUUUGUCACACAACAGAUAUAGCGUUCUGGCAAGCUGUAGCAUGUGCCACCAUUUUCUCUCAGAACCACUCAAAUAGGUGACAACACCCUCUUACACAAGCCUCUGCCACCUGGAAGAGAGUUCAUCCCGCUGCAAGAGAAGGAGGACUGAGAUUGAAGGGGUGUUUACUAAUUAUUUAUUUAUUUUUACUAAUUAUCAUUUACUAAUUC